RNAcentral lists this transfer RNA (75 nucleotides) under Acetobacteraceae bacterium. Its description in RNAcentral is "tRNA-Gly". It matches the Rfam family "tRNA". From Rfam's summary of the family: Transfer RNA (tRNA) molecules are approximately 80 nucleotides in length. The record is from RNAcentral. Lineage: Bacteria; Pseudomonadati; Pseudomonadota; Alphaproteobacteria; Acetobacterales; Acetobacteraceae.
GCGGGCGUAGUUCAGAGGUAGAAAGUCAGCUUCCCAAGCUGAAUGUCGGGGGUUCGAUUCCCCCCGCCCGCUCCA